GAAGUUCGCCAGGCAGCCGCUGGACAAAUCAUCGUCUGGAGGAAAGUCCGGGCCCCAUAGAGCAGGAUGCCGGCUAACGGCCGGGCGCCGCGAGGCGACAGACAGCGCAACAGAAAGAUACCGCCUAAGUUCGCAAGAACCGGCAAGGGUGAAAUGGUGGGGUAAGAGCCCACCGCGGACGUGGUAACACGGACGGCACGGCAAACCUCAUCCGGGGCAAGGCCAAAUAGGGGAGCAUUGACGUGGCUCGCGUCGCUCCCGGGUAGGCUGCUAGAGGCCGUCAGCAAUGGCGGUCCCAGAGGAAUGGCUGCCCACGACAGAACCCGGCUUAUCGGCGAACUUCCACA
This 347-nucleotide RNase P RNA is filed under the name Rhodocyclaceae bacterium. RNAcentral's name for it is "RNase P RNA component class A". It matches the Rfam family "Bacterial RNase P class A". From Rfam's summary of the family: Ribonuclease P (RNase P) is a ubiquitous endoribonuclease, found in archaea, bacteria and eukarya as well as chloroplasts and mitochondria. Its best characterised activity is the generation of mature 5'-ends of tRNAs by cleaving the 5'-leader elements of precursor-tRNAs. Cellular RNase Ps are ribonucleoproteins. Lineage: Bacteria; Pseudomonadati; Pseudomonadota; Betaproteobacteria; Rhodocyclales; Rhodocyclaceae. The record is from RNAcentral.